RNAcentral lists this ribosomal RNA (462 nucleotides) under uncultured bacterium. Its description in RNAcentral is "partial 16S ribosomal RNA". It matches the Rfam family "Bacterial small subunit ribosomal RNA", at positions 28 to 507 of the family's 1533-position model. The record is from RNAcentral.
GACGAACGCUGGCGGCGUGCUUAACACAUGCAAGUCGAACGGUGAAGCCCUUCGGGGUGGAUCAGUGGCGAACGGGUGAGUAACACGUGAGCAACCUGCCCCUGGCUCUGGGACAACCACUGGAAACGGUGGCUAAUACCGGAUACGACCCGCCUCGGCAUCGAGUGUGGGUGGAAAGUUUUUCGGCUGGGGAUGGGCUCGCGGCCUAUCAGCUUGUUGGUGAGGUGAAGACUCACCAAGGCGACGACGGGUAGCCGGCCUGAGAGGGCGACCGGCCACACUGGGACUGAGACACGGCCCAGACUCCUACGGGAGGCAGCAGUGGGGAAUAUUGCACAAUGGGCGAAAGCCUGAUGCAGCGACGCCGCGUGAGGGAUGACGGCCUUCGGGUUGUAAACCUCUUUCAGCUCCGAAGAAGCGAAAGUGACGGUAGGAGCAGAAGAAGCACCGGCUAACUACGUG